CAAGAAAUAGCAUAUAGUGUAGU
This 23-nucleotide transfer RNA is filed under the name Ruditapes philippinarum (Manila clam). RNAcentral describes it as "partial tRNA-Val". The record is from RNAcentral. Lineage: Eukaryota; Metazoa; Mollusca; Bivalvia; Venerida; Veneridae.